UUUCUUCUUCUCCUUUGAAACUCACGACCGAACACACACUUACACACAUUCGAAGAUCGUGGCCAUUUCAAGUUAGUUUCAAGUCGAUUUAAAAAUUUAAAGGUGAUUCCAUGGUGAUUGCAAAGAGGAAGAAGCUUGUUUUCAUCAAGAAUCUCAUCAUAAAACUCACUUUUGUUCUUGAAAGGUCUAGGAUGAGGCGGAGAAGACGAGGUGUUGCCAUUCAUCACCGCACGAUUAGAUUCUAUCCUGCAAAAUUAGAUUAUGAUGAAUAAAAGAUUGACAAAACUAAUACACAAAGCAUGGUUCGAGUAAAGAUCAAGACAUGAGCUUAGUCUAAUAUCGCUUGUUAGGAUCAUGUAUAAGACUUGUAAGAGCUCAAAUAAUCAAAAGCACAACGAAAAACUUCAAUAACUUUGAUUAAUAAAAACAACGGAUGUGUUCAACAG
Helianthus annuus (common sunflower) is the source of this 446-nucleotide long non-coding RNA. RefSeq lists it as uncharacterized. Lineage: Eukaryota; Viridiplantae; Streptophyta; Magnoliopsida; Asterales; Asteraceae. The transcript has 3 exons. The record is from RefSeq and is a predicted model, not a curated record.